ACUCCUACGGGAGGCAGCAGUGGGGAAUAUUGCACAAUGGGCGCAAGCCUGAUGCAGCCAUGCCGCGUGUAUGAAGAAGGCCUUCGGGUUGUAAAGUACUUUCAGCAGUGAGGAAGGUGGGUAUGUUAAUAGCAUAUUCAUUUGACGUUAGCUGCAGAAGAAGCACCGGCUAACUCCGUGCCAGCAGCCGCGGUAAUACGGAGGGUGCGAGCGUUAAUCGGAAUUACUGGGCGUAAAGCGCAUGCAGGUGGUUUGUUAAGGUCAGAUGUGAAAGCCCGGGGCUCAACCUCGGAAUUGCAUUUGAAACUGGCAAACUAGAGUACUGUAGAGGGGGGUGAAAUUUCAGGUGUAGCGGUGAAAUGCGUAGAGAUCUGAAGGAAUACCGGUGGCGAAGGCGGCCCCCUGGACAGAUACUGACACUCAGAUGCGAAAGCGUGGGGAGCAAACAGGAUUAGAUACCCUGGUAGGCU
RNAcentral lists this ribosomal RNA (470 nucleotides) under uncultured bacterium. Its description in RNAcentral is "bacterial SSU rRNA". It matches the Rfam family "Bacterial small subunit ribosomal RNA", at positions 335 to 796 of the family's 1533-position model. The record is from RNAcentral.